This is a long non-coding RNA of Sphaeramia orbicularis (orbiculate cardinalfish), 216 nucleotides long. RefSeq lists it as uncharacterized. The transcript has 3 exons. Lineage: Eukaryota; Metazoa; Chordata; Actinopteri; Kurtiformes; Apogonidae. The record is from RefSeq and is a predicted model, not a curated record.
AUAUCUGUAAAUCAACACCAUAUUUAUGUUCAUUGCCACGUUUAUGGAAUGACUUCUUGUGUCAUCUCGCGAUAAUAAAUAAACAAAUCAUCAGAUAUGUGAUUUAAUGGCAAAACCGACAUUUUGCACUUCUGUUUUUUCGACAUUUAAGAAAUAUGGGUAAAGUUUUGUGCAGAUGUUCAAUGGAAAAGCAACUACUGACAACAAUAAAACCAG